This 494-nucleotide ribosomal RNA is filed under the name uncultured bacterium. RNAcentral describes it as "partial 16S ribosomal RNA". It matches the Rfam family "Bacterial small subunit ribosomal RNA", at positions 28 to 507 of the family's 1533-position model. The record is from RNAcentral.
GACGAACGCUGGCGGCGCGCUUAACACAUGCAAGUCGAACGGAAAGGCCUGCUUUCCCUUGUGGAUUGCGUGUACUCGAGUGGCGAACGGGUGAGUAACACGUGAGUGAUCUGCCCCCAACUUGGGUAUAAGCCUGGGAAACUGGGUCUAAUUCCCGAUAGGACUGCAGGGUGGUGCCUGUGGUGGAAAACGAUUUUCUAGUGGUUGGGGAUGAGCUCGCGGCCUAUCAGCUUGUUGGUGGGGUAAUGGCCUACCAAGGCGGCGACGGGUAGCCGGCCUGGGAGGGUGGACGGCCACAUUGGGACUGAGAUACGGCCCAGACUCCUACGGGAGGCAGCAGUGGGGAAUAUUGCACAAUGGGCGGAAGCCUGAUGCAGCGACGCCGCGUGGGGGAUGACGGCCUUCGGGUUGUAAACUCCUUUCGACCGCGAGGAAGCCACCUGGUUGGAAGGGUGGUGACGGUAGUGGUAGAAGAAGCACCGGCUAACUACGUG